AAGCCUUCCGCCAGGGCCACCGCCUGGGAACUGGUCUCUGCUCCACACUCCCGCACCCAGCCCUCCAUCUCUGGGGGAAGAAGGAACAGGAGAUGCUCCAGAACCACCAGGUCCAACAUCUGGGCUUUGCUGUGCUUUCCUGGGCUCAGCCAUCGCCUGCACAAGUCAUGGAGUCGGCUGCAAAGUCCUCGGGGACCCUCAGCCUCCCGGUAUUGGAUGGAGGUCCAGGGUGGAACUUCUGAAGGGAGGAUGAUUCCCUCCUGCAGGAUCUUCUGCCAGGUUCUGGUCCAGCUCUCCUCACAGCUUUGAGGCCGUAG
Pseudonaja textilis is the source of this 317-nucleotide non-coding RNA. Lineage: Eukaryota; Metazoa; Chordata; Lepidosauria; Squamata; Elapidae. The record is from RefSeq and is a predicted model, not a curated record.